UACGUAGGUGGCAAGCGUUGUCCGGAUUUACUGGGUGUAAAGGGCGUGUAGGCGGGUUAGUAAGUCAGAUGUGAAAUUCCAUGGCUCAACUGUGGCGCUGCAUCUGAAACUAUUGAUCUUGAGUGCUGGAGAGGAAAGCGGAAUUCCUAGUGUAGCGGUGAAAUGCGUAGAUAUUAGGAGGAACACCAGUGGCGAAGGCGGCUUUCUGGACAGUAACUGACGCUGAGGCGCGAAAGCGUGGGGAGCAAACAGGAUUAGAUACCCUAGUUAGU
RNAcentral lists this ribosomal RNA (272 nucleotides) under uncultured bacterium. RNAcentral describes it as "partial 16S ribosomal RNA". It matches the Rfam family "Bacterial small subunit ribosomal RNA", at positions 524 to 794 of the family's 1533-position model. The record is from RNAcentral.